CUUUAUCUCUCAUCUCUUCAGAGACCCAAUGCAACGCUGCCUCACACCACCGCCAUCCGCCCACCGGAAAUCGCCUCACCGCGACUCCGGUGUCCAAUCCCUUUCAAAAUUACACCGCAGAACCCCCUCACUCCCCUCAUGCCAAAUCCCCACUCCUUUUUCCUCGAAUCACCCGUGACUUUUCGAAUCUUGGAUCGAAGAUCAGACCCCGAACCCUAACUUACCCAACCAGCCCCAAAAUAACAUCUCAGAACCACCAUGACCGCUUCUUACCAAAUCUUAAAUUAUUUUUCCUCGAAUCUGUCUGGAACUCAUCGGAUAUGGAAUUUGAGUUCAGACCCUAAAAGCCUAAGACCAGACCUGUACGAGCAAGACCAAUCCUCCAAAUUCCUUAGUCAUGCAAGGUUGUUUUGGCACAAAAUAAUGACGUUCGCUUGUUCUUGUCCGAGAGCAAGCGAUUAGCAUUAUUUUGAGCUAGCGCAGAAUGCCAGCAUCGAAUUCAAGUCUAUUUGGUGAGUUCCCUUUCAUUUUUCUGUUCAUUUUUGAAUUUGUUUCGCCUUUUAUUCUUCUUCUUUUCUUUCUUCAGCAUCUUUCUCAGUUAUCCUUCUGUCCACAAGUCUGUUUUCUUCAUCUGCGUUAAUUUUGUUCCAAUAGCAUUUUUGGAUUUAUAAUCAUAUAAGAAAGGUCUAGGUUUAAUUCAAGGCUCUCAAAUUGAAUUGGUCGAGGUUUAUUCGAAUGUGUUUUGGAAAUUAUCAGUCUUCUAGCAUGUUUGAAAGUUCCAUUUAGAGUUCUUAUAACAGAUUAAUUCUUCAAAUAAGUUAAUAUGAUUCAGUUGCUAGGUGCUUUCUUAAUUUUGGAGUGCAUUUAUAUUGAUUCGUGUGUCUUCUGUUUAUAAGUAUUCAGAAUUUUAGGAGAUAUUAAAUAACAUUGUGUCUUAAGGGUAGUCUAGGGAUUGUAUAGAUUCAAGUGUUUACCCACUUAAGAGGUUGCUAACCAGUGGUAGGGUCUAGGAAAUGCAUUGAUGAACUAAUAAAUUAUAAGCACUAAGUAGUUGAAUGAAUUAAAAAUGAAAAGGAGACUGAUAGUUGUUAGCUUAAUGCCCUUUUUAGAGUUGGAAAAUAAGAUAACAUGGGGGGCAUUUCAAAAAGGGAAAACAAUACAACUGUAAAGAAAAAGAGGAGCUGGAAAGGGGUAUUUUAUGAAGUAUAUAUAGACACACACACACACACACAGAGAGAACAGACAGAGAGAAAAAACAUUGGAAGAGGGUGAGAGAAAACGGAGAGUAAUAGAUAGAGAGAUAUAGGCAUUGAGAUAUACACAGCAGUCGGGUAUUCUGAAAUAGGAGAGAGGAAGAUAGAUAGAAAAAGGAAACAGAGAGAUUGAAGAGAAAUAAUCUAAAAUUAAAAAGGUUGUACUGUUUUUACUGUUUCAUCGAUCACUUUUGCAUUUUGGAUAUUUCUAAUCUCUGAAAGAGAAUUUAACUCAUCGGGGGUUUAAAAUAGAUGAAGAUGGGUUUGAAAGUUUGGUUUUGACGUGUUGAAGUUUACUUUUCGAUCGAACUUUUUUGGGCCUGCUGCACAUAACUUUUCUGUUCAACUUGGCUCUACUAGUUGCUGAGUUUCUCCUGCUGUACUGCUUGGCUAAUGAUUCUCAUUUGUUUUCUCGAUUUCAUAUUUCAGGUACAUGUCUCUAGACUUAUCUCACACAAGGUUUUGAUAUUGCAAUGAAAUGAAAUUCGGAGUUCCAAAUGUGUCUUCUGCACAUUCAAAUCUAUUAGUUUAGUUUCAGUUUUUUUUUAGUUAAUGGACAUGUCAUAUGCUCAACAUGGGAGCUAUUAGUCAACUUGCCUCUGUUGAAGUUAGUAUAGCUCUACAGUAAUUUUACUUACUUCUGAAGCUCAUUGGUUAUAGCUGGUUUUGAAUUGCUGUGAUGUGGAACUUGGUAGAAUGUUGACCAUUAGCUAAGUUUUGUGUAAGCCAUGUUAGCUAAGCGUAUGGUAGUAUUGAAAUAUCAAGGAACCACAAUAGUAUAUUUCGCCAAACAUCUGGAAUUUUUGUUUCAAUUCUAGUUGAGAUAAGUGCUCUUGUUUGUAUGUAAUCUUGUAUGAUAACAGCUAUUGGGAUAACCAUAAGUUAGAGGUAAAUUUAUAUAGUCCAUUAUGUUUAAAGUAUUGAAGUAUUUUGAG
Molecule: long non-coding RNA, 2188 nt
Filed under: Nicotiana tabacum (common tobacco)
Lineage: Eukaryota; Viridiplantae; Streptophyta; Magnoliopsida; Solanales; Solanaceae
Description: long non-coding RNA (NTAB_LNC001759)
Source: RNAcentral